RNAcentral lists this ribosomal RNA (896 nucleotides) under uncultured bacterium. Its description in RNAcentral is "bacterial SSU rRNA". It matches the Rfam family "Bacterial small subunit ribosomal RNA", at positions 46 to 931 of the family's 1533-position model. The record is from RNAcentral.
GCUUAACACAUGCAAGUCGAACGGAAACGAUGGAAGCUUGCUUCCAGGCGUCGAGUGGCGGACGGGUGAGUAACGCGUAGGAAUCUGCCAGAUAGUGGGGGAUAGCCCGGAGAAAUCCGGAUUAAUACCGCAUAAUCUCCAUGGAGUAAAGAGGGCCUCUAUUUAUAAGCUUUCGCUAUCUGAUGAGCCUGCGUAAGAUUAGCUAGUUGGUGGGGUAAUGGCCUACCAAGGCGACGAUCUUUAGCUGGUCUGAGAGGAUGAUCAGCCACACUGGGACUGAGACACGGCCCAGACUCCUACGGGAGGCAGCAGUGGGGAAUAUUGGACAAUGGGGGCAACCCUGAUCCAGCAAUACCGCGUGUGUGAAGAAGGCCUGAGGGUUGUAAAGCACUUUCAAUUGUGAAGAAAAGUUAAUAGUUAAUACCUAUUAGCCUUGACGUUAACUUUAGAAGAAGCACCGGCUAACUCCGUGCCAGCAGCCGCGGUAAUACGGAGGGUGCAAGCGUUAAUCGGAAUUACUGGGCGUAAAGCGUGCGUAGGCGGUUGACUAAGUCAGAUGUGAAAGCCCCGGGCUUAACCUGGGAACUGCAUUUGAAACUGGUCAACUAGAGUAUGGUAGAGGAAAGUGGAAUUUCUGGUGUAGCGGUGAAAUGCGUAGAUAUCAGAAGGAACAUCGAUGGCGAAGGCAGCUUUCUGGACCAAUACUGACGCUGAGGUACGAAAGCGUGGGUAGCAAACAGGAUUAGAUACCCUGGUAGUCCACGCCGUAAACGAUGAUAACUAGCCGUUGGGAGGGUUUACCUCUUAGUGGCGAAGCUAACGCGUUAAGUUAUCCGCCUGGGGAGUACGGCCGCAAGGCUAAAACUCAAAGGAAUUGACGGGGACCCGCACAAGCG